RNAcentral lists this ribosomal RNA (1017 nucleotides) under uncultured bacterium. RNAcentral describes it as "bacterial SSU rRNA". It matches the Rfam family "Bacterial small subunit ribosomal RNA", at positions 355 to 1375 of the family's 1533-position model. The record is from RNAcentral.
UGAGGAAUAUUGGUCAAUGGGUGCAGGCCUGAACCAGCCAAGUAGCGUGAAGGAUGACUGCCCUAUGGGUUGUAAACUUCUUUUAUAAAGGAAUAAAGUCGGGUAUGUAUACCCGUUUGCAUGUACUUUAUGAAUAAGGAUCGGCUAACUCCGUGCCAGCAGCCGCGGUAAUACGGAGGAUCCGAGCGUUAUCCGGAUUUAUUGGGUUUAAAGGGAGCGUAGAUGGAUGUUUAAGUCAGUUGUGAAAGUUUGCGGCUCAACCGUAAAAUUGCAGUUGAUACUGGAUAUCUUGAGUGCAGUUGAGGCAGGCGGAAUUCGUGGUGUAGCGGUGAAAUGCUUAGAUAUCACGAAGAACCCCGAUUGCGAAGGCAGCCUGCUAAACCGCCACUGACGUUGAGGCUCGAAAGUGUGGGUAUCAAACAGGAUUAGAUACCCUGGUCGUCCACACGGUAAACGAUGGAUACUCGCUGUUGGCGAUAGACUGUCAGCGGCUUAGCGAAAGCGUUAAGUAUCCCACCUGGGGAGUACGCCGGCAACGGUGAAACUCAAAGGAAUUGACGGGGGCCCGCACAAGCGGAGGAACAUGUGGUUUAAUUCGAUGAUACGCGAGGAACCUUACCCGGGCUUGAAUUGCAGACGAAUUGCUUGGAAACAGGCAAGCCGCAAGGCGUCUGUGAAGGUGCUGCAUGGUUGUCGUCAGCUCGUGCCGUGAGGUGUCGGCUUAAGUGCCAUAACGAGCGCAACCCUCGUGUCCAGUUACUAGCAGGUUAUGCUGAGGACUCUGGACAGACUGCCAUCGUAAGAUGUGAGGAAGGUGGGGAUGACGUCAAAUCAGCACGGCCCUUACGUCCGGGGCUACACACGUGUUACAAUGGGGGGUACAGCAGGCAGCUACCGGGCGACCGGAUGCCAAUCCCGAAAGCCUCUCUCAGUUCGGACUGGAGUCUGCAACCCGACUCCACGAAGCUGGAUUCGCUAGUAAUCGCGCAUCAGCCACGGCGCGGUGAAUACGUUCCC